This is a long non-coding RNA of Triticum aestivum (bread wheat), 370 nucleotides long. RefSeq lists it as uncharacterized. NCBI's taxonomy places the organism in Eukaryota, Viridiplantae, Streptophyta, Magnoliopsida, Poales, Poaceae. The transcript is spliced from 3 exons. The record is from RefSeq and is a predicted model, not a curated record.
ACAAUAUGGACAUUUGGGUCCUUGUUGAUACGCCUCCAAUUCUACCGCUAUCUUAUUUUGAUUGUUCAAACAAUGUGCGGAACAUGGUAGACAGAACCUACUACACCGAUGGCUCUGAGUUAACUUAUAAGGAGAAAACUCAUCUGGUCGGAUUUUGUACUGAUAUUGAGAAUUACAAUAUCUGCAAUCAAACUCCUCAUGAUUAUGGUCCUCCAUACGUGCCACUAGUGCACGUGUUGAACUAGGUAACUACUAUGGAGAUACCCUGAUAAUCCCAGAGGAUUGUGUGCCUCAUUUGAUGUAUCAGAAUGGUAGGCUUGAUGUUUUGAAUAUACAACCAGGUCAUCCUACGAAUCUCAACUGUCCAUAC